Molecule: ribosomal RNA, 919 nt
Filed under: uncultured euryarchaeote
Lineage: Archaea; Methanobacteriati; Methanobacteriota
Description: SSU rRNA
Rfam family: Archaeal small subunit ribosomal RNA
Source: RNAcentral
UUCUGGUUGAUCCUGCCGGAGGUUACUGCUAUCGGCGUUCGACUAAGCCAUGCGAGUCAUAUGUUCUUCGUGAACAUGGCGGACUGCUCAGUAACACGUGGAUAACCUGCCCUUAGGUUUGGCAUAACUCCGGGAAACUGGAGAUAAUUCCGAAUAGGUCAAAUAUGCUGGAAUGCUUUUUGGCCAAAAGACCUCGGUUGCCUAAGGAUGGAUCUGCGGUCUAUCAGGUAGUAGUGGGUGUAACGUACCUACUAGCCUACGACGGAUAUGGGUUGUGAGAGCAAGAGCCCAGAGAUGGAUUCUGAGACAUGAAUCCAGGCCCUACGGGGCGCAGCAGGCGCGAAAACUUUACAAUGCGGGAAACCGCGAUAAGGGGACACCGAGUGCCAGCAUUUAUGUUGGCUGUCCACAUGUGUAAACGGCAUGUGUUAGCAAGGGCCGGGCAAGACCGGUGCCAGCCGCCGCGGUAACACCGGCGGCCCGAGUGGUAAUCACUUUUAUUGGGUCUAAAGGGUCCGUAGCCGGUUUGAUCAGUUCUUCGGGAAAUCUGACAGCUCAACUGUUAGGCUUCCGGGGAAUACUGUCAGACUUGGGACCGGGAGAGGUAAGAGGUACUACAGGGGUAGGAGUGAAAUCUUGUAAUCCCUGUGGGACCACCAGUGGCGAAGGCGUCUUACCAGAACGGGUCCGACGGUGAGGGACGAAAGCUGGGGGCACGAACCGGAUUAGAUACCCGGGUAGUCCCAGCCGUAAACGAUGUUCGCUAGGUGUCAGGGGCGGUGCGACCGCUUCUGGUGCCGUAGGGAAGCCGUGAAGCGAACCACCUGGGAAGUACGGCCGCAAGGCUGAAACUUAAAGGAAUUGGCGGGGGAGCACUACAACGGGUGGAGCCUGCGGUUUAAUUGGAAUCAACGCCGGA